Molecule: ribosomal RNA, 215 nt
Filed under: uncultured fungus
Lineage: Eukaryota; Fungi
Description: partial small subunit ribosomal RNA
Rfam family: Eukaryotic small subunit ribosomal RNA (bases 39-215)
Source: RNAcentral
GGAUCAAUAUAUCGGUCGUGCUUCGGUAUGUACUGGUAUUAUUGAUUUCUCCCUUCUGACAAACUAUGAUGUCAUUAAUUUGGUGUUAUAGGGAAUUAGGACUGUUACUUUGAAAAAAUUAGAGUGUUUAAAGCAGGCUAACGCCUGAAUACAUUAGCAUGGAAUAAUGAAAUAGGACGAGCGAUCCUAUUUUGUUGGUUUCUAGGAUUGACGUA